This 26-nucleotide non-coding RNA is filed under the name Mus musculus (house mouse). Lineage: Eukaryota; Metazoa; Chordata; Mammalia; Rodentia; Muridae. The record is from RNAcentral.
UGAUAAGCUUAGGAAUGCUAUACUUA